Non-coding RNA from Paramuricea clavata, 281 nucleotides. The record is from the annotation of a GenBank genome assembly. NCBI's taxonomy places the organism in Eukaryota, Metazoa, Cnidaria, Anthozoa, Malacalcyonacea, Plexauridae.
GGCCAAAGUCCAUUGAGUGAACAACGCACGAAUCAAUGCAAAAAGAACGAAAAUUAGAACACCGAAUCGUUUUGAAAACUUGUGCUAAGACGGACUGCCGAAGCGAAGGCCUUUCAAUACAUGUGGUUCGACGUAUACAUGAAACAUCACUUGAUGCAAAAUAUGGAAAUCAGCAAGAGAAAGCAAACGCGAAUGGAUAGAAAACAUUUUAAAGACAUCUCUAUGUAAGCAAAGUCGAAUAGUCGAUGGCACAUUAGCCUAAAAUAGAGAUUAUAUACAAG